GUUAGCGGCGUCUCAGUUGCCAUGGAGACCAGGAGCUCCAAAACGCGGAGGUCUUUAGCGUCCCGGACCAACGAGUGCCAGGGCACAAUGUGGGCGCCAACUUCGCCACCAGCCGGGUCCAGCAGCCCCAGCCAGCCCACCUGGAAGUCCUCCUUGUAUUCCUCCCUCGCCUACUCUGAGGGCUUCCACUACAGCUUCGCAGCCCGGCCCCGCCGCCUCACGCAGCUUGCGCUGGCGCCGCGUUCCGAGCCUCAGCGGCUUCGUCUGCGCCCCUCCUCGCUGCGCACCCAAGAUAUCUCGCACUUGCUCACUGGCGUCUUCCGCAACUUGUACUCUGCUGAGGUCAUCGGCGACGAAGUGAGCGCAAGCUUGAUCAAGGCCCGCGGCAGCGAGAAUGAGCGCCACGAGGAGUUCGUGGACCAGCUGCAGCAGAUUCGGGAGCUCUAUAAGCAGCGGCUGGAUGAGUUUGAAAUGUUGGAGAGGCAUAUCACUCAGGCCCAAGCACGGGCUAUUGCGGAAAACGAGCGGGUCAUGAGCCAGGCUGGAGUACAGGACCUUGAGAGCCUUGUCAGGUUGCCUCCAGUGAAGAGUGUCUUCAGAUGGUGUAUAGACAACGAGUUGCUACGGAAACAUCAUUUGAUCUCCCCAGAAGAUUACUACACCGAUACAGUGCCGUUUCACUCUGCACCUAAAGGCAUCUCCCUACCUGGAUGUUCAAAACUGACAUUUAGCUGUGAGAAGCGUUCCGUCCAGAAGAAAGAGCUGAACAGGAAGCUUGAAGAUUCAUGCAGGAAGAAGCUUGCUGAGUUUGAAGAUGAGUUAGACCACACUGUGGACAGCCUGACAUGGAAUUUAACUCCUAAGGCCAAAGAAAGGACCAGAGAACCUCUCAAGAAAGCAAGUCAACCAAGGAAUAAAAACUGGAUGAACCACUUACGUGUGCCACAAAGAGAACUAGACAGACUUCUGCUUGCCAGAAUGGAGAGUCGGAACCACUUCCUAAAAAAUCCCCGUUUUUUCCCUCCUAACACUCCAUAUGGAGGCAAGUCUCUUGUUUUUCCUCCAAAGAAGCCAGCACUGAUAGGAGAAUUCCAGAGUGCAGAGCCAGAACAGAGUUGUGCUGAUACUCCAGUGUUUCUAGCUAAGCCACCAAUUGGGUUUUUCACAGAUUAUGAAAUUGGUCCAGUUUAUGAGAUGGUAAUUGCGCUGCAGAACACCACCACGACCAGCCGCUACCUGCGAGUCCUCCCGCCUUCCACGCCAUACUUUGCUCUAGGACUGGGGAUGUUCCCAGGAAAAGGUGGAAUGGUGGCUCCUGGAAUGACCUGCCAGUACAUUGUCCAGUUUUUUCCCGACUGCCUUGGGGAUUUUGAUGAUUUUAUUUUAGUGGAGACCCAGUCAGCCCACACACUUCUGAUCCCCCUGCAGGCCCGGAGGCCGCCCCCCGUGCUGACAUUGUCACCGGUGUUGGACUGUGGUUACUGCCUCAUUGGGGGAGUCAAGAUGACCAGAUUCAUCUGCAAAAAUGUGGGUUUCAGUGUUGGCAGGUUCUGCAUUAUGCCCAAAACAAGCUGGCCACCACUAAGUUUCAAGGCCAUUGCAACCGUCGGCUUUGUUGAACAACCUCCUUUUGGAAUCCUGCCUUCGGUGUUUGAGCUGGCCCCGGGACAUGCUAUAUUAGUGGAGGUCUUGUUUUCCCCAAAGAGCCCAGGAAAGGCAGAGCAGACCUUCAUCAUCAUGUGCGACAACUGCCAGAUAAAGGAGCUGGUGACCAUAGGAAUUGGGCAGCUGAUUGCUUUGGAUCUGAUCUAUAUUUCUGGUGAAAAAAGCCAACCAGACCCUGGAGAGCUCACAGACUUAACAGCCCAGCACUUCAUACGAUUUGAGCCUGAAAACCUUCGGUCCACGGCUAGGAAGCAGCUGAUUAUUAGAAAUGCUACGCACGUGGAGCUGGCCUUCUACUGGCAGAUUAUGAAGCCCAACCUGCAGCCCCUCAUGCCUGGAGAAACCUUCAGCAUGGACAGCAUCAAGUGCCACCCUGACAAGGAGACCGCCUUCUCCAUCAUGCCCAGAAAGGGGGUUCUCAGCCCCCACACAGACCACGAGUUCAUCCUGAGCUUUUCUCCUCAUGAGGUUCAGAUGGUGUCAUCUCAGUAGCCACACAUGGUUGGAUCAUGUAUUUAGACCCCCCACCUGUGUUCUUUAAUCACACUGAAGCCACAGCUGGGCCCACCGAGGUGCCAUCCUGCCCAGGCCAGCACUUGGCUGAGUUGGGUUGGAGUACACACCUGGUGUGCGGGGCGAAGCAGCUCAUUUUGUCUGGUCUUGAUCCCAGACUCAACCCGUCUGCAGCAAGACCCUUGGCCGGCUUCCUCAGCUCUGGGUGUCUCCCACAUGUCUACUAUGGCAAAAAAACAUUACCAUCCCCACCCCUACCACAGCAGCCCCUAGAGAGAGUGAGGUGCAGGGACCUGAGGGCCAGGUUAGCACAGCGCUAACCUGUGGGCCACGGUUAGGCUAGAAGGGAAUUCGAGCUGGGCAUGAAAAGGAUGCUCCGGGGCCAUUGUUAGUGGGUUUGGGGCUGAGAUGAGUGAUCCUGCCUCUGGUCCCAGCAUCCAGCUGCCUCGUUGUCUGUCCUGGGAGGGUGUGGUGCUUCAGACAUGUUGAGGGGCUUUGUCAGCAUCAGGAAGGCCUUUCCUUUGCUUCUUGCCCCCAGGCCCAGCUGAGACAGGCCCCUGAGUCCUGGCUUAUGUUCUGGAAGCAACUUCACUUUUCCUAAGAAGGGGAGGAGGCAGCAGGGAAGCAUCCCUGGGUUUUCAGAAGGUCCUUCUGGUGGCUAGGCUAAGGGGAGGAAGAAUUCCCGCCAUGCCCCAGCCUUCUCCAGGACAACCUGCUGGAACGCAGUGGUGUUUUCAGGUCACUGUGUUUGCCUUGCAGCUGAGGGAUUUUCACAGUGUGCUCCAGAUGGUGCUAGAGGAAGUCCCAGAGCCUGUAAGUUCAGAAGCAGAGAGCCUGGGGCACUCCUCCUACUCUGUGGAUGAUGUAAUCGUCCUGGAAAUUGAGGUGAAAGGCUCAGUAGAACCUUUCCAGGUUCUCUUAGAGCCAUAUGCCCUCAUCAUCCCAGGGGAGAACUACAUUGGGAUAAAUGUGAAGAAGGCUUUUAAGAUGUGGAACAACAGCAAGUCACCCAUCAGAUACCUGUGGGGGAAGAUCAGCGACUGCCACAUCAUUGAAGUGGAGCCCGGCACGGGGGUCAUAGAGCCCAGUGAGGUUGGGGAUUUUGAGUUGAACUUUACUGGGGGUGUCCCUGGCCCCACAAGCCAGGACCUGCUGUGUGAAAUUGAAGACUCGCCCUCGCCAGUGGUGUUACACAUUGAGGCAGUCUUUAAGGGUCCUGCCCUCAUCAUCAACGUCUCAGCCCUUCAGUUUGGUCUGCUCCGCCUGG
Molecule: small RNA, 3445 nt
Filed under: Pongo abelii (Sumatran orangutan)
Lineage: Eukaryota; Metazoa; Chordata; Mammalia; Primates; Hominidae
Description: retained intron
Source: RNAcentral